Molecule: ribosomal RNA, 497 nt
Filed under: uncultured bacterium
Lineage: Bacteria
Description: partial 16S ribosomal RNA
Rfam family: Bacterial small subunit ribosomal RNA
Source: RNAcentral
GAUGAACGCUGGCGGCGUGCCUAAUACAUGCCAGUCGAGCGAACGGACGAGAAGCUUGCUUCUCUGAUGUUAGCGGCGGACGGGCGAGUAACACGUGGAUAACCUACCUAUAAGACUGGGAUAACUUCGGGAAACCGGAGCUAAUACCGGAUAAUAUUUUGAACCGCAUGGUUCAAAAGUGAAAGACGGUCUUGCUGUCACUUAUAGAUGGAUCCGCGCUGCAUUAGCUAGUUGGUAAGGUAACGGCUUACCAAGGCAACGAUGCAUAGCCGACCUGAGAGGGUGAUCGGCCACACUGGAACUGAGACAAGGUCCAGACUCCUGAGGGAGGCAGCAGUAGGGAAUCUUCCGCAAUGGGCGAAAGCCUGGCGGAGCAACGCCGCGUGAGUGAUGAAGGUCUUCGGAUCGUAAAACUCUGUUAUUAGGGAAGAACAUAUGUGUAAGUAACUGUGCACAUCUUGACGGUACCUAAUCAGAAAGCCACGGCUAACUACGUG